UACAGAGGUCCCAAGCGUUGUUCGGAUUCACUGGGCGUAAAGGGUGCGUAGGUGGUGGGGUAAGUCGGAUGUGAAAGCUCGGAGCUCAACUCCGAAAUGGCAUUGGAAACUACCCUGCUAGAGGAUUGGAGGGGGGACUGGAAUACUUGGUGUAGCAGUGAAAUGCGUAGAUAUCAAGUGGAACACCAGUGGCGAAGGCGAGUCCCUGGACAAUAACUGACACUGAGGCACGAAAGCUAGGGGAGCAAACAGG
Molecule: ribosomal RNA, 253 nt
Filed under: uncultured bacterium
Lineage: Bacteria
Description: partial 16S ribosomal RNA
Rfam family: Bacterial small subunit ribosomal RNA
Source: RNAcentral